UACCAGCACCCCGAGUGGUCGGGACGUUUAUUGGGCCUAAAGCAUCCGUAGCCGGUUCUACAAGUCUUCCGUUAAAUCCACCUGCUUAACAGAUGGGCUGCGGAAGAUACUAUAGAGCUAGGAGGCGGGAGAGGCAAGCGGUACUCGAUGGGUAGGGGUAAAAUCCGUUGAUCCAUUGAAGACCACCAGUGGCGAAGGCGGCUUGCCAGAACGCGCUCGACGGUGAGGGAUGAAAGCUGGGGGAGCAA
This 248-nucleotide ribosomal RNA is filed under the name uncultured bacterium. RNAcentral describes it as "partial 16S ribosomal RNA". It matches the Rfam family "Archaeal small subunit ribosomal RNA", at positions 474 to 722 of the family's 1478-position model. The record is from RNAcentral.